This is a long non-coding RNA of Seriola dumerili (greater amberjack), 238 nucleotides long. RefSeq lists it as uncharacterized. The record is from RefSeq and is a predicted model, not a curated record. The transcript is spliced from 3 exons. NCBI's taxonomy places the organism in Eukaryota, Metazoa, Chordata, Actinopteri, Carangiformes, Carangidae.
AGUACGUGAUAAAGUGCGACAUGUCGGCCCUGCAGAGGGUUUUGUACAGACACAUGCAGGCCAAGGGAGUCCUGCUCACAGAUGGGUCAGAAAAAGACAAGAAGGGUAAAGGAGGCACGAAGACCCUGAUGAACACUAUCAUGCAACUGAGGAAGAUUUGCAACCACCCCUACAUGUUCCAGCACAUCGAGGAGUCUUUCUCUGAGCAUCUCGGUUAUUCUGGUGGAAUAGUGAGUGG